CCCAAUUUUCUUCUUUUCUGC
Molecule: non-coding RNA, 21 nt
Filed under: Arabidopsis thaliana (thale cress)
Lineage: Eukaryota; Viridiplantae; Streptophyta; Magnoliopsida; Brassicales; Brassicaceae
Source: RNAcentral